RNAcentral lists this ribosomal RNA (626 nucleotides) under uncultured Arthrobacter sp. RNAcentral's name for it is "bacterial SSU rRNA". It matches the Rfam family "Bacterial small subunit ribosomal RNA", at positions 338 to 974 of the family's 1533-position model. Lineage: Bacteria; Bacillati; Actinomycetota; Actinomycetes; Micrococcales; Micrococcaceae. The record is from RNAcentral.
CCUACGGGAGGCAGCAGUGGGGAAUAUUGCACAAUGGGCGCAAGCCUGAUGCAGCGACGCCGCGUGAGGGAUGACGGCCUUCGGGUUGUAAACCUCUUUCAGUAGGGAAGAAGCGAAAGUGACGGUACCUGCAGAAGAAGCGCCGUCUAACUACGUGCCAGCAGCCGCGGUAAUACGUAGGGCGCAAGCGUUAUCCGGAAUUAUUGGGCGUAAAGAGCUCGUAGGCGGUUUGUCGCGUCUGCCGUGAAAGUCCGGGGCUCAACUCCGGAUCUGCGGUGGGUACGGGCAGACUAGAGUGAUGUAGGGGGGACUGGAAUUCCUGGUGUAGCGGUGAAAUGCGCAGAUAUCAGGAGGAACACCGAUGGCGAAGGCGGGUCUCUGGGCAUUAACUGACGCUGAGGAGCGAAAGCAUGGGGAGCGAACAGGAUUAGAUACCCUGAUAGUCCAUGCCGUAAACGUUGGGCACUAGGUGUGGGGGACAUUCCACGUUUUCCGCGCCGUAGCUAACGCAUUAAGUGCCCCGCCUGGGGAGUACGGCCGCAAGGCUAAAACUCACAGGAAUUGACGGGGGCCCGCACAAGCGGCGGAGCAUGCGGAUUAAUUCGAUGCAACGCGAAGAACCUUAC